RNAcentral lists this ribosomal RNA (446 nucleotides) under uncultured bacterium. Its description in RNAcentral is "partial 16S ribosomal RNA". It matches the Rfam family "Bacterial small subunit ribosomal RNA", at positions 338 to 795 of the family's 1533-position model. The record is from RNAcentral.
CCUACGGGUGGCAGCAGUCGAGAAUCAUUCACAAUGGGGGAAACCCUGAUGGUGCGACGCCGCGUGGGGGAAUGAAGGUCUUCGGAUUGUAAACCCCUGUCAUGUGGGAGCAAAUUAAAAAGAUAGUACCACAAGAGGAAGAGACGGCUAACUCUGUGCAAGCAGCCGCGGUAAUACAGAGGUCUCAAGCGUUGUUCGGAAUCACUGGGCGUAAGGCGUGCGUAGGCUGUUUCGUAAGUCGUGUGUGAAAGGCGCGGGCUCAACCCGCGGACGGCACAUGAUACUGCGAGACUAGAGUAAUGGAGGGGGAACCGGAAUUCUCGGUGUAGCAGUGAAAUGCGUAGAUAUCGAGAGGAACACUCGUGGCGAAGGCGGGUUCCUGGACAUUAACUGACGCUGAGGCACGAAGGCCAGGGGAGCGAAAGGGAUUAGAUACCCGGGUAGUC